Molecule: ribosomal RNA, 396 nt
Filed under: uncultured bacterium
Lineage: Bacteria
Description: partial 16S ribosomal RNA
Rfam family: Bacterial small subunit ribosomal RNA
Source: RNAcentral
AUACGUAGGUGGCAAGCGUUGUCCGGAAUUAUUGGGCGUAAAGCGCGUGUAGGCGGUGCCUUAAGUCUGUCGUGAAACUGCGGGGCCUAACCCCGUAUGGCGAUGGAAACUGUGGCACUUGAGUGCAGGAGAGGAAAGGGGAACUCCCAGUGUAGCGGUGAAAUGCGUAGAUAUUGGGAAGAACACCGGUGGCGAAGGCGCCUUUCUGGACUGUGUCUGCCGCUGAUAUGCGAAAGCCAGGGUGGCGAACGGGAUUAGAUACCCCGGUAGUCCUGGCCGUAAACGAUGGGUACUAGGUGUGGGAGGUAUCGACCCCUUCCGUGCCGGAGUUAACGCAAUAAGUACCCCGCCUGGGGAGUACGGCCGCAAGGCUUAAACUCAAAUGAAUUGACGGGG